Molecule: ribosomal RNA, 254 nt
Filed under: uncultured bacterium
Lineage: Bacteria
Description: partial 16S ribosomal RNA
Rfam family: Bacterial small subunit ribosomal RNA
Source: RNAcentral
UACGGGGGGAGCAAGCGUUGUUCGGAUUUACUGGGCGUAAAGGGCGCGUAGGCGGUCAGCACAAGUCAGUUGUGAAAUCUCCGGGCUUAACUCGGAAAGGUCAACUGAUACUGUGCGACUAGAGUGCGGAAGGGGCAACUGGAAUUCCAGGUGUAGCGGUGAAAUGCGUAGAUAUCUGGAGGAACACCGGUGGCGAAGGCGGCUUUCUGGACAAAUACCGACGCUGAGGCACGAAAGCUAGGGGAGCAAACAGG